GACGAACGCUGGCGGCGUGCUUAACACAUGCAAGUCGAACGGAAAGGCCCUGCUUUUGUGGGGUGCUCGAGUGGCGAACGGGUGAGUAACACGUGAGUAACCUGCCCUUGACUUUGGGAUAUCUUCAGGAAACUGGGGCUAAUACCGGAUAGGAGCUCCUGCUGCAUGGUGGGGGUUGGAAAGAUUCGGCGGUUGGGGAUGGACUCGCGGCUUAUCAGCUUGUUGGUGGGGUAGUGGCUUACCAAGGCUUUGACGGGUAGCCGGCCUGAGAGGGUGACCGGCCACAUGAGGACUGAGAUACGGCCCAGACUCCUACGUGAGGCAGCAGUGGGAAAUAUUGCACAAUGGGCGGAAGCCUGAUGCAGAAGCGCCGCGAGCGGAAUACCGGCCUUCGGGUUGUAAACCGCUUUCGCCUGUGACGAGGCGUGAGUGACGGUAAUGGGUAAAGAAGCACCGGCUAACUACGUG
RNAcentral lists this ribosomal RNA (468 nucleotides) under uncultured bacterium. Its description in RNAcentral is "partial 16S ribosomal RNA". It matches the Rfam family "Bacterial small subunit ribosomal RNA", at positions 28 to 507 of the family's 1533-position model. The record is from RNAcentral.